CCUACGGGAGGCAGCAGUAAGGAAUAUUGGCCAAUGGACGCAAGUCUGAACCAGCCAUGCCGCGUGCAGGAUGAAGGCCCUCUGGGUUGUAAACUGCUUUUAUCUGGGACGAAAAAGGGGCUUUCUAGCUCAACUGACGGUACCAGAGGAAUAAGCACCGGCUAACUCCGUGCCAGCAGCCGCGGUAAUACGGAGGGUGCAAGCGUUAUCCGGAUUUACUGGGUUUAAAGGGUGCGUAGGUGGGUAAGUAAGUCAGUGGUGAAAUCUUCAAGCUUAACUUGGAAACUGCCAUUGAUACUAUUUAUCUUGAAUACUCUGGAGGUAAGCGGAAUAUGUCAUGUAGCGGUGAAAUGCUUAGAUAUGACAUAGAACACCAAUUGCGAAGGCAGCUUACUACAUAGUUAUUGACACUGAGGCACGAAAGCGUGGGGAUCAAACAGGAUUAGAUACCCUGGUAGUCCACGCCCUAAACCGAUGGAANACUACACANCANGAUACACUGUUGUGCUGNGNGAAGANAUAGUAUACCACCUCGGAGGUACGACCGACCGACGUAGUAACGUACGAACGAAGUUAGUACGGCGUAGAGACGUUAGCGACGGACGACGACGAGGGAGGAGGGNG
This 624-nucleotide ribosomal RNA is filed under the name uncultured bacterium. RNAcentral's name for it is "bacterial SSU rRNA". The stretch from base 1 to 532 matches the Rfam family "Bacterial small subunit ribosomal RNA", at positions 338 to 873 of the family's 1533-position model. The record is from RNAcentral.